This 759-nucleotide small RNA is filed under the name Edenia sp. 1 NV-2015. RNAcentral describes it as "eukaryotic LSU rRNA". It matches the Rfam family "Eukaryotic large subunit ribosomal RNA", at positions 50 to 829 of the family's 3401-position model. Lineage: Eukaryota; Fungi; Ascomycota; Dothideomycetes; Pleosporales; Pleosporaceae. The record is from RNAcentral.
GCGGAGGAAAAGAAACCAACAGGGAUUGCCCUAGUAACGGCGAGUGAAGCGGCAACAGCUCAAAUUUGAAAUCUGGCUCUUUCAGGGUCCGAGUUGUAAUUUGCAGAGGGCGCUUUGGUGUUGGCAGCGGUCCAAGUUCUUUGGAACAGGACGUCACAGAGGGUGAGAAUCCCGUACGUGGUCGCUAGCCUUCGCUGUGUAAAGCCCCUUCGACGAGUCGAGUUGUUUGGGAAUGCAGCUCUAAAUGGGAGGUAAAUUUCUUCUAAAGCUAAAUACUGGCCAGAGACCGAUAGCGCACAAGUAGAGUGAUCGAAAGAUGAAAAGCACUUUGGAAAGAGAGUCAAACAGCACGUGAAAUUGUUGAAAGGGAAGCGCUUGCAGCCAGACUUGCCUGUAGUUGUUUACCUAGAUUUUUAUCUGGGGCACUCUUCUGCAGGCAGGCCAGCAUCAGUUUGGGCGGUUGGAUAAAGGUCUCUGUCACGUACCUCUCUUCGGGGAGGCCUUAUAGGGGAGACGACAUGCAACCAGCCUGGACUGAGGUCCGCGCAUCUGCUAGGAUGCUGGCGUAAUGGCUGUAAGCGGCCCGUCUUGAAACACGGACCAAGGAGUCUAACAUCUAUGCGAGUGUUUGGGUGUCAAGCCCAGACGCGUAAUGAAAGUGAACGGAGGUGGGAACCUUAGGGUGCACCAUCGACCGAUCCUGAUGUCUUCGGAUGGAUUUGAGUAAGAGCAUGGCUGUUGGGACCCGAAAGAUGGUGA